Molecule: ribosomal RNA, 496 nt
Filed under: uncultured bacterium
Lineage: Bacteria
Description: partial 16S ribosomal RNA
Rfam family: Bacterial small subunit ribosomal RNA
Source: RNAcentral
GAUGAACGCUGGCGGCGUGCCUAAUACAUGCAAGUCGAGCGAACGGACGAGAAGCUUGCUUCUCUGAUGUUAGCGGCGGACGGGUGAGUAACACGUGGAUAACCUACCUAUAAGACUGGGAUAACUUCGGGAAACCGGAGCUAAUACCGGAUAAUAUUUUGAACCGCAUGGUUCAAAAGUGAAAGACGGUCUUGCUGUCACUUAUAGAUGGAUCCGCGCUGCAUUAGCUAGUUGGUAAGGUAACGGCUUACCAAGGCAACGAUGCAUAGCCGACCUGAGAGGGUGAUCGGCCACACUGGAACUGAGACACGGUCCAGACUCCUACGGGAGGCAGCAGUAGGGAAUCGUCCGCAAUGGGCGAAAGCCUGACGGAGCAACGCCGCGUGAGUGAUGAAGGUCUUCGGAUCGUAAAACUCUGUUAUUAGGGAAGAACAUAUGUGUAAGUAACUGUGCACAUCUUGACGGUACCUAAUCAGAAAGCCACGGCGAACUACGU